NNNNNNNNNNNNNNNNNNNNNNNNNNNNNACUCUCUACAAACACACGCUCACACACACACACACACACUCACACUCACACUCUCUACACGCACACUCACACUUAUACAUGCACAACCACACACUCUCUCUCACACACACACACUCUCUACAAACACACGCUCACACACACACACACACUCUCUACAAACACACGCUCACACACACACACACACUCUCUACAAACACACGCUCACACACACACACACACUCUCUACAAACACACGCUCACACACACACACACACUCUCUACAAACACACGCUCACACACACACACACACUCUCUACAAACACACGCUCACACACACACACACACUCUCUACAAACACACGCUCACACACACACACACACUCUCUACAAACACACGCUCACACACACACACACACUCUCUACAAACACACGCUCACACACACACACACACUCUCUACAAACACACGCUCACACACACACACACACUCUCUACAAACACACGCUCACACACACACACACACUCACACUCUCUACACUCACACUUAUACAUGCACAACCACACACUCUCUACAAACACACACUCACACACACACGCACACUCUACAAACACACACGCGCACACUCUCUACAAACACACACGCGCACACUCUCUACAAACACACACACUCACACUCUACAAACACACACUCACUCACACACACACACACACAUUCACACUCUACAAACACACACUCAUACAUGCAUACACACUCACACUCUCUACAAACACUCAUACUCAUAUACACACAUACUCUCUACAAACACACACUCACACACACACACUCUCUCUCUCUACAAACUCACGCGCGCGCACACACACACACACACGUUUGAUUAAUAAUAACCAUCAUUAAAGUAAGUGUCCGUCUCAUGGCUGAUCUCUCAACAGCUCUACUGGAGAUCAUUAAUGAGAGUUUGCUGUAGUAUAUGAAGCAGCGAUUCGUUAACGCACAUCCUCUUUCUCUUUAAAG
Molecule: long non-coding RNA, 1017 nt
Filed under: Sinocyclocheilus grahami
Lineage: Eukaryota; Metazoa; Chordata; Actinopteri; Cypriniformes; Cyprinidae
Description: lncRNA (ENSSGRG00000002009.1)
Source: RNAcentral